GGCUUAUUAGUAUAAUUAAAGUAUUUUUGUUUUCCAAACAAAUGGUGUUUAAGCUU
RNAcentral lists this transfer RNA (56 nucleotides) under Chandlerella quiscali. RNAcentral describes it as "tRNA-Gly". Lineage: Eukaryota; Metazoa; Nematoda; Chromadorea; Rhabditida; Onchocercidae. The record is from RNAcentral.